This 208-nucleotide long non-coding RNA is filed under the name Trifolium pratense (red clover). RNAcentral's name for it is "long non-coding RNA (TPRA_LNC012134)". The record is from RNAcentral. Lineage: Eukaryota; Viridiplantae; Streptophyta; Magnoliopsida; Fabales; Fabaceae.
UCAUUAAUCAUAAUCAAAUACAUAGUCACAAUCCAUUUGUUACAACACAAUCCAGUCACUAAUAUUAACACUAGAAUCACAUAAGACUAAGUGGCCAAAACAUAUGCAAACAAAGACUCCAUAUUGACUGGACUAUAACACUAGAAUCAUAAAAGACUAAAUGGCCAAAACAUAUAGACCAAGACUCCAUGCCAGGACAUGAGGCAAC